UGAACGCUGGCGGCAUGCCUUACACAUGCAAGUCGAACGGCAGCACGGGUGCUUGCACCUGGUGGCGAGUGGCGAACGGGUGAGUAAUACAUCGGAAUGUACCUUGUAGUGGGGGAUAGCUCGGCGAAAGCCGGAUUAAUACCGCAUACGCUCUGAGGAUGAAAGCAGGGGACCGCAAGGCCUUGCGCGAUUGGAUGAGCCGAUGUCCGAUUAGCUAGUUGGCGGGGUAAAGGCCCACCAAGGCGACGAUCGGUAGCUGGUCUGAGAGGAUGAUCAGCCACACUGGAACUGAGACACGGUCCAGACUCCUACGGGAGCAGCAGUGGGGAAUAUUGGACAAUGGCGCAAGCCUGAUCCAGCCAUGCCGCGUGUGUGAAGAGGGCCUUCGGUUGUAAGCACUUUGUUGGUAAGAAAUCCUGUCGCCGAAUACCCGGCCGGGAGUGACGGUACCCGAAACGAACUAAGCACCGGCGUAACUUCG
RNAcentral lists this ribosomal RNA (481 nucleotides) under uncultured Gammaproteobacteria bacterium. Its description in RNAcentral is "bacterial SSU rRNA". It matches the Rfam family "Bacterial small subunit ribosomal RNA", at positions 30 to 505 of the family's 1533-position model. The record is from RNAcentral. Lineage: Bacteria; Pseudomonadati; Pseudomonadota; Gammaproteobacteria.